GGGUUUUAGGAUUGAGUCACCACAGACAUGGCAUUUGCCAGUUAGAUGCCAGCAUCAUGGUGACAUCUUACCUGCAUCCCUGUUUCUCGCCUGCAGAGCCCCAGACGACAGCCCCAGGCGGGUGGCGAGGCGGAAAUCCAUCUCCUAUGACCUGGCGGAGGAGGAGCUGAUGGUCAGCAUCGAGCGGGAGUACAGCUGCUGAGGCCGCACGCGGUGGCUGUCCCUGGUCACGUCCUGUCCCCAGCCCGGGCUCGGUGCCGCAGAGCCACCUCCAGACUCGGAUUGGCCUGUGCAGACUCACGCUCCUGCGGCCACUGCUGGAGGGUCUGGGGACAGGCGUGUGGCCCCUCCCAGCCACCCAGGAGCCAGGGACUCUCUCUCUUCUGUGACUGCUGUCCAGGGGCGAGGGCCAUGGCACCUGCACACAGCAGUUUUCACCGAAGCCAGAGUUUCCCGCCAGCACAGCCUCAGGACACAGCCUUCAGCCAGACAUCCCCACCUGGGACCCUUGGCAGUUGCGCGCAGACAGAAACCACACUGUGGAGAGAAGCCAAUGCAAAGCGGAGCCCUCCGGCCACUGUCUCCCACCGCAACGCCACGGCUGGAGCAGCACUCAGCGUGGAGUGAUACAAAGCCACCCACAUCUGAGCCGGGGUGACACUGGGCAGCCAGUGUCCACACCGAACUGAAAUGAGGGGCAGGGAGGACGCUCUGCAAAGGACAGUCUUCUGAAGGUCUAGGAACAUUCGACUGCAGAACUGCCCUGGGUCUGGAAACCUGGAAACCUAAAACACACACACACACACACACACACACACACACACACACACACGGAUGAAAAGCAGCUGAUAUGAAAGGGCAGCUUAGCGGGCAUCAAGUAACAUACACUGAAUGAGGGCGAGGGUCAUAGACUACAAAGACCUGAAGACAAAACCUACCUUUAGUUAAUUACCCAAUAGUUCACCUGCCCUCAUUAGAACAAAGACUCAGUGCCAAAACUGAAAGGCAAAGGCAGCAUCUAGAUACAUAGUGCACAUAAAAGAUUCUCCAGCUACCAAAACAGUGCAAUGUUCCCAUCUUCUGCUGCAGUGCUGCCUGGACUCCAAGGGAUGGGCUCGCCUACCCCUGCCUGCCUUCCCAAUGAUGCAAGAAGCCCCACCCACAGGACACUGCCUCUCUGCUCAAGACACCUCCCUUCAAACAGGAGGCGACCAAAAGAGCAGACCACAAGCUCCGUAGUCUCACACCUAGUGAAGGAAUCCUCGUGGGAACCCGACUCCCGGAUGCCGUGGUUCCCAGAGCUGAGCUCUACAGCCCACCGCCUCCACACGAGGAGUGCGGCCUCCUUCGGUGCGUGGGCAAACUGCUCCUCCAUGGCUGAAGGACACGGGCACCCCGACACUCACAGGCCACAGGGCCUGGAGCUCCCUGGGAACGACUCCGCGAAGCAAGCGAAGACUCCGCAAAGCAAGCGGCCACGCCAUGGCACGCCACGGCACGCCAUGCCACGCCGCUCUCCCCUUCUCUUCAGGAGGCCCUCCUUCAACCAGUUCUGAUUCCAAACAAGUCUUAGCUCCAAGAGGCCUGGUAACACACGGGAUUUCUUUCUAAAUUGUGUACCACGCUUACUAAAAGCAGGGUCGUUAUAAAACUGUUAUUAAACACUGAAAAGGCUGAAUAUGAUCUAGAAACUGGUGAUUGGAGCACCAAUAUAAAUAUUUUUAUAAAAAACAGUAUAAAAGUAGUACCCUGUCUUAUUUCUACAAAACAUGAGUAGAAAGGUUGUAAAAAUCCAGAUUUUGUAAACUUUACUGCCAAAAUGGUUGUUUGAAUGCUGGUGAUUUAGCUUAUCAAUUUUUCCAUUCCCUUAAACAAAAAGAAACCUGUGAAACUGCAAAAGAUAGAACAGGGUCUCAAACAGAAAGCAGUGAACAGCCCUCCCCAGCGCGGUCCAGGAGGAGCCCGGCUUCCUUGCCGCCGGCCCGCGGGCUCAGGGCAGGGUCAGGGCGAGGCGGGCCCAGGCGCAGGCAUGAGUGGGGCCGGUCGGGCCGGGCUCUCGGCCGCUGCGCUCUCAUGCAGCUUGCCCACCUCUGCCUGCCAGCCCGGGACCUUCUUGGCACUCAUGUGGCGCCGUGCGUGCUUCGUCAGGUGGUCGCUGCGCAUGAAGCGCCCUCGCACACGGGGCACGCGAACUUCUUCUCCCCUGUGUGCGUGCGGCGGUGACGCGACAGUUCAUUCAGAGCGCGGCGAACUUCUUGUCGCAGCCGUCCCAGCUGCAGUUGAAAGGCUUCUCCCC
Molecule: long non-coding RNA, 2296 nt
Filed under: Heterocephalus glaber (naked mole-rat)
Lineage: Eukaryota; Metazoa; Chordata; Mammalia; Rodentia; Bathyergidae
Description: lncRNA (ENSHGLG00100040921.1)
Source: RNAcentral